Molecule: long non-coding RNA, 2208 nt
Filed under: Homo sapiens (human)
Lineage: Eukaryota; Metazoa; Chordata; Mammalia; Primates; Hominidae
Description: HSALNT0314814
Source: RNAcentral
AGCACUUUUCCUUGCUGCCGCCAUGAGAAGAAGUAUGUGUUUUCUUCCCCUUCUGACAUGAUUGUUAAGUUUCCUGAGGCCUCCCCAGCCAUGCUGAACUGUAUUGCCUCCAGCACACUGUUUACAUUCCUACUGUGUCUCAGCAUCUGUUCUCCUGGGAAUAGAACUGGUCCACCUGAACAUAUGAUCUGUGCUGCUGUUGGUGCAGGAGGACAGGAGGGAAAUAAGCUGGAAGCCAUGGAUGUGGAGAGUCUGGCUUCAAGAUGGAGCUUGUUUACCUGCAGGGCCCCAUGCAGAACCUCAUGAGACGUGACUUCAGAGGCCUCCUCUCUGAAGGUGAGGGAGGCGUCAGCUGUUCAGAGAGAGAGGCUGCCUUGCCUGGGGACACACAGCUAGCCAGUGGCCGGAGCAGCAGUGGAUGCAGUUGUCCUGAUGCAUAGUUCAAGAAGCUUUUUUUUUUUUUUUUUUUUUCACGUGUGAAAACAUCUAUUGGGAAAAUGGAAAAAUCAUUUGACCUCAUAUUCCUCAUAGCUGACAUGUCUCCUUGUUCCCACCCCACUGACCACUGAAUUGCUGCUUGAAUUGCCAGGAACUUCCUGGUGUGGCAGAAGGAAGACUAAGAACCAGGAAGUGGCUGACAAGAAAGGGAGCUGCAUUCUGCAACUGGAGUUAGUAUUUGCUCUGACCUAACACUUUGGGUGAUUCAUUGGGUCCUCCUGGAACCUGGUGUUCCUGCCCUCUUUUGGAGUUUCCUGCUUUCUUGAAUCCACUGCCAGAUAAUGCCGGGAUAAGAACUGACCAUGGAUGGAAACAAAGAUGCAGGAAGGGGAAAGCAGUUCGUGUGAAGGUCAAAACCUAGAAAGGUCAGGUCAUAAUUAAAUUAUUCCUUGGGAGGAUUAAAGGCCAACUGAAUCCCAUAAAUCUAAGACCGUAAAGGCAGAAUUGUAGCCAAUAGUUAUUAGACUCCCUGGGCAAAAGGAAAGGAACUUUCCCUGCCGAUCUGGAACCAGGUCAGGAAGAUUUGGGUCCCUGAUGGGAUCAGGGGAGUUGAAGGUGGGGAUGCCAAGGCAGGUAGUUUUAUGCCCCUGAAGGCCACUUUAGGCUAUAAAUAUAACAAAGAAGAUUGCAACCACACAUGGGUUAUUCUGAGAAACAGUGCUCCAUUUAUUUCUCACACCUGCAUUUUGUAUUUCACACCUACAUUUUUUUCCCACCUACCUUUUUGAUAGAAUGAUAAAGGUUCGAAAUGAUAGCUAGCAUUUGUUACACACUUACUAUGCCUGGCUUGGGCUUUAUAUUUACUCUCUCAUUUAAUCUCAUAAUAAUCUUAUGAGGCAGAUUCGCUUAUUUUCCUUCUUUUAUAGUUGACAAAACUGAGUUCAAAAGAGGGGUUAGGCCACUUGCCCAAGGUCACACAGCUGAAACAUGAACCCAGUCAGUCGACCCUAGAGCCUGCCCUCUUUACAGUAGACUACUUUCUUGAGAUCCUGACUGCUGAUGACUACAGGACCAGACAGUUUUGGAGGACUUUGGCUCACUGCAUGGACCUAAAGAGGACUUGAGCCUCAGUUGUUCUGCAGCCUCUGUUACUUAACCUGCAUUCUUCCUGAGGUCCCUGUUUAACCAUAAGGUGCACAGAUGCAGGGAGAGGACCGAGAAGGGAGUUGGGGAGACAUCAUCGUCCUGGGCCUGGGCCUAUGUGCACUGCACUGAGGGCAGCAAAGUAUGGUGGUUAAGACCACAGGCUUCAGAGUCAUACCUGGGUUCUGACCCACUUCUUAGCUGGGUGACUUGGGUAGUUACUUCACCUCUCUAAGCCUCACUUUGCUGAUCUAAAAAGUGGGGAUGAUAUUAGUAUACAUCAAAAGGUUAAAAAGUUAAUAAAUGUUAAAGUACUUAGCAUUUUGCAUGCCACUUUUCUGGCAGUAAACAAAUGGUAUCUAAAAGCAACAGCAACAACACUCUUGUGAUGCAAUGUGUCUUCAGCUAAAUGUCUGUGUUACCUAUGACUAGUUCCAGAGAUGCAAAAUCAGCGGUAGCUGGGUGUAGAGAAAAGAGUCUCCCAGGAUAAAGCUGUCAUGCUUCUGCCUUUUCCCAGUUUGCAGGCCCAUGUCACUCUUCUCCUUCCCUCAGAAGAUGCUUGGGCUGGGAUCUGGCCCAACCAGCUGCCUUCAAUCCUCUCUGCCAGCCCUCCACCAUGAGUACCUG